CCAUUUUUCUAUACAAAGUGAAGUUUGUGCGAUCCGCAGCCAUCUUGCGGAACUUCGGAGCGGUUACUUGUCAUCUGUCAUUGGUGUCAUCUGUCACAUUGACAUUGACGUUCCAGACCAAAACAAAGUUUAUUAGUGUCUCGUGCGUUGUUUUUCAAGUGUUUGUGCAUUAAUUAUCAGUGAAAAAUGUCUACCGAAACGGAAACUUUAAAAAAACUACGAGUAAAGAGGUCUCAGUGUAAGGGAACAAUCACUAGAAUUGAGAAUUUUGUACAAGACCCCGUAAGUUUAGCUGCCGCGAGCGCCGACAUUCUUGAGGCGCGCAAGGAAAAGUUAAUUUCAACACUCAAAGAUUAUGAGAAGGUCCAGAUGGACAUACUAGGCAUCGAUGAAGGAGACAGCGAACAGGUGGGAGAUAUUGAAGAUAAAUAUUAUUCAAUAUUAGCCAAAAUUAAUAGUUCUCUUAAAAUGUUGAAUACCAAAGUAACUUCAGAGUGCCACAAUGCUUCUACUUGCAAGUUACCAACAAUUGAAAUACCAUUCUAUGAUGGCAAAGACUUCACCAAGUUUAAACCCUUUUUUGACUUGUUUUCUGCUGUAAUUGAUAACAAUAACUCAUUGAGUGAUGUGCAGAAACUUUUCUAUUUGAGAAAGUACUUGCAAGAAGAUGCAUUGGCAGUAAUAGUAAAUCUGCCUUUAGUAAAUGAAUCUUAUAAAGAAGCAAUACACUUGUUAAAAAGGAGAUUUGAUAACAAAGCUAGAUUAAUAGCAAAUCAUAUAAGUAUAUUGUUGGAUAUUCCUACAAUGCAAAAGGGCACAGCGGUCUCCAUACGAACAUUUGUUUCCCAAAUAAAUCAACAAAUCCAUGCUCUAAAAAAUUUAGAAGAACCCGUUGAUAAAUGGGACAUGCUUUUAAUUUCAAUCUUGACACGCAAAUUGGAUCAAUUUACAAAUCGGGCUUAUCAAUUAGACCGAGAUUUAGACACCAUGCCUACUAUGGCUAGUUUCAUUGAGUAUUUGGAGAAGCGUGCUAUAGCGCUUGAAGAUAGUCAACCAAAUAAACAUAGUACCUGCUAUGAAGGUACUAACAAACAUUUCAAUAUUAAAAGCACUUGCUAUGAAGGUGCUCAUAAAUCAAUACCUAAGGUAACAAAUGUGGUAUCGAAAUCGCUGCCGCCCUGUAGGUAUUGUGAAAAUAAAGACCAUCAGAUAUAUAACUGUCACAUAUUCAAAAUGCUACCUGUUGCUCAGAGGCAAUCUUAUGUAAAAGAGAAACACAUGUGUGAUGUGUGUCUUAACAAUCAUGAAGGGAAAUGUAAAUUUACAUUUAAAUGUAAAAUAUGUAAACAGGGCCACAACACAUUGCUGCACCAGGAGCGCAAUGUAAGUGUGGACAAGCCCACAAUUGUUGAUGUCAGCGCGCACCCACCAUCACCAGAUGCUGGGUUGCAUAAAAACUGAAAAUGGACCUGUAUUCCAGAAUACCAUGUUAGGAUAUAUUGUUGGAGGAAGUAUUCCUGAAAAAGGACACCACUGCGUGUUUAAUCCCUCGAGUCGCACCUCACACCAUCGUGUGGUCUUUGACGGGUCGAUGAGAUCUAGAAAUGGGACAUCGUUGAAUCAAGUCAUGCUGAAUGGGCCUGUUGUACAGAGUGAGCUUUUUGAUAUUCUUAUUUUGUUCAGGACUUAUCCAUAUAUUUUAACAUGUGACAUUCAAAAAAUGUUUCGCAAUGUUUUUAUAAAUGAACAUCAACGCGGACUUCAAAACAUUUUAUGGCGCGAUUCGCCUAAAGACCCUAUCAACUGCUUGCAGCUCCAGACUGUUACAUACGGCUUGAAAUCAAGCACAUUUUUAGCUACAAGAGUUCUCAAUGAACUAGCAAAUAUGCAUAAGGAUCAGUUCCCUUUGGCCGCACAGGCAAUUUAUAAAAAUACAUUUGUUGAUGAUGUGCUGACUGGUGCUGAUGAUGUAGAGACGCUUCAGGAGCUGAAAAAUCAAAUUGUAGAGCUUCUAAAAUUAGGUAGUUUCUCAUUACAUAAAUGGUGCUCGAACGAUUCUUCAUUAAUAGCUGAUAUACCAGUUGAGCACAGACAAAUUGACAGUGUGGAGAUCGGUCAAAAUGACACUGUGAAGACUCUAGGUCUCACACUCCAAAUUAAUUCUGAUAAAUUGACUUUCUCUUGCCCUGCAAUUGAUGAAGCAACAAUGCUCAACACAAAAAGAAAAAUUCUCAGUUUUAUAGGGAAAAUGUUUGACCCACUUGGUUUAAUAGGCCCAGUAAUUGUGGUGGCCAAGUUAUUCAUGCAAGAACUCCAUAGCUCUUUGCCUAAAGAUUGGGACUCUACAAUCCCAAACGAACUGUUUCAGCACUGGUCUAAGUUUCUGAACAAUUUAAAACAAAUGGGUCAAAUUAAAAUAGAUAGAUGUGUAAAAUUUAACUUAGUAUCUCAUGUAGAGUUAAUAGGAUAUGCCGAUGCAUCCAUAAAAGCCUUCGGAGGCUGUCUCUACUUAAGAGUCUUUAUGACUGACGGCUCAGUUAGAGUGAACCUAUUAUGUUCGAAAUCCCGAGUGUCAUCACUGAGCAAAUCUCAUACUAUUCCUCAAUUGGAGCUCUCUGCUGCUCUACUUUUAGCACAAUUGUCAAGUAGAGUCAGUAACAUUUUAAAUGAUCGAGUAUCUCAUAAAGUAUUUCUCUAUAGUGAUUCCCAAAUUGUUUUGUGGUGGAUCAAGACAGAAGCAGCAAAGAGUACUGUAUAUGUAAAAAAUAGAGUCAAGCAAAUUGUAGAGCUAACUGAAAAAUCACAGUGGUUGUAUGUUAGAUCAAAAGAUAAUCCUGCUGAUCUUUUAUCAAGGGGAAUUGAACCUCACAGGCUGCAGGAGUGUCAUCUGUGGUGGCAUGGUUCACCUAGUCUUAGCGAUGUGAGUUAUUCACAUACAAAUUCAGAAGAAUUUAAUUAUGAAAAUAUUAUGCCUUUUACAGACUCGCAUGAGACAGUCAGUGCACCUUCUGAAAAUGUAAAGGGAAUCUUGUGCCAUGCUACAAAUGUAGAGCCCCUAGAUUUAUUAAACAAAUAUUCUAAUAUAAAUAAACUUCAAAGGGUGGUAGCUAUUAUUUAUAGAUUUUAUAAUAACUGCUUGAACAAAAAUAAUAAAAUAACAAGCAGCUACUUAACUGCAAAUGAAUUGCGUGACUCUAUGUUGAAAAUUGUACGUUGUACUCAGGUAGAGCAUUUAAGUAAAGAAUUAGUCUUGCUCUCCAAAAAUAAGCCUGUGACAAUUAGCGAUCAAAUAGUAUUUUUAGAUAAAUACAAUGUCAUUAGGGCUGUGGGAAGACUGCAAAAUGCAGACAACUUGCCUUAUGACAAGCGGCAUCCUGCAAUACUUCCAAAAAGCUCCUUUAUUACCAAACUUAUUAUAGAACGGGAGCACUUAAGACUUUUGCAUGCAGGUGCUAGACAAGUGUUAGGCUCUCUAUCUCAGAGGUACCAUCUCGUGAAUGGUAUACGAGAAGUAAAAAAGGUCGUACAUAAAUGUAUGAAAUGCAUACGAAUGAAAGCUGAAGCAGCAAAGCAGUUGAUGGGAGACCUUCCUAAAGAAAGAAUCACACAAAGCAGACCCUUUCAGCAUGUAGGAAUCGAUUUCUGCGGCCCCUUUAACGUAAAGGUGUCUCGCAUCAGGAAGCCUGUUAUCACUAAAGGCUAUAUCGCGCUUUUUGUUUGCUUUGCUGUAAAAGCGAUACACUUAGAACUUGUUUCUGAUCUCACGACCGAAACUUUCUUAGCAUGUCUUAAGCGUUUUAUUUCUCGGCGUGGCAUGCCCACAAAUAUUUAUUGUGACAAUGCAAAAACCUUUAAAGGCGCUUGCAAUACAUUAAACAAAUUGUAUGAUCUAUUUUCCUCCAAACAUUGUAGAGACUCUGUUAACGAAUUCUGUUCAGAUAGGUACAUAACAUUCAAUUGGAUACCGAGUUACUCACCAACGUUCGGAGGAAUUUGGGAAUGUGGAGUGAAAGGUUUCAAACAUCACUUUAAAAGAAUAGUAGGCAAUUUGUGCCUGACCUACGAACAACUUAAUACUGUAAUCAUAGAAAUUGAAGGCAUUAUGAAUAGUAGACCUUUACUCUCUGCUAUCUCUAAUGAUUGUGAAUAUAUUACCCCUGGACACUUCAUUUGUGGCACAGCUUUGACGAGUUAUCCUGAAAUUGAUCUCACUGAAACUUCAGUAAAUAGAGUUUCAUUUUGGAAAAUGUGUACCAAGCUUAAGCAAGAUUUCUGGAAAACCUGGUCUCAAACUUAUUUAACUCAGCUCCAAAGCCGCCCCAAAUGGAAAUACCAGCAAACCAAUUUAAAAGAAGGUGAUUUGGUAAUUGUAAAAGAUAUAAACACCUCUCCAUUAAAUUGGCCAAUGGCUCGCAUAGUAAAAACUUUCCCUGGUAGGGACGGAUUAGUAAGAGUAGCUGAUGUUAAAAUCAAUAAUAAAAUAUUCCGUAGAGCCAUUACAAAAUUAUGUCCUUUACCUGUGAUGUAGAGCUCAUAUAUUUUCUUAUAUUUAGAUUUAAUUGGCGGGUCCAACCUUUACUGUAAUGUAAUACUGCCUGGCCCCAACUAUGUUUAAUACAAAACAUAUAAAGUGUAAGCUUAGCUUAAGUAUUUUUAGUUGUAGCAACAUAAUUUGUAGUUGCCUUAUGGUUGCAUCUGGCAACUCUCUCUCUUCUUCCGCGAUCCAACCCGACGACAUUGUACGCGACCACUUAAUGUAACUUUAAUUGUUUAAAAAGUUAAUAAAACGUAAUUUAAAUUCAAAAA
This 4806-nucleotide unclassified non-coding RNA is filed under the name Leguminivora glycinivorella. RNAcentral describes it as "uncharacterized LOC125238735, transcript variant X1". The record is from RNAcentral. Lineage: Eukaryota; Metazoa; Arthropoda; Insecta; Lepidoptera; Tortricidae.